RNAcentral lists this ribosomal RNA (465 nucleotides) under Vreelandella stevensii. RNAcentral describes it as "partial 16S ribosomal RNA". It matches the Rfam family "Bacterial small subunit ribosomal RNA", at positions 338 to 795 of the family's 1533-position model. Lineage: Bacteria; Pseudomonadati; Pseudomonadota; Gammaproteobacteria; Oceanospirillales; Halomonadaceae. The record is from RNAcentral.
CCUACGGGUGGCAGCAGUGGGGAAUAUUGGACAAUGGGCGAAAGCCUGAUCCAGCCAUGCCGCGUGUGUGAAGAAGGCCUUCGGGUUGUAAAGCACUUUCAGUGGGGAAGAAAGCCUUGGGGCUAAUACCCUCGAGGAAGGACAUCACCCACAGAAGAAGCACCGGCUAACUCCGUGCCAGCAGCCGCGGUAAUACGGAGGGUGCGAGCGUUAAUCGGAAUUACUGGGCGUAAAGCGCGCGUAGGCGGUCUGAUAAGCCGGUUGUGAAAGCCCCGGGCUCAACCUGGGAACGGCAUCCGGAACUGUCAGGCUAGAGUGCAGGAGAGGAAGGUAGAAUUCCCGGUGUAGCGGUGAAAAGCGUAGAGAUCGGGAGGAAUACCAGUGGCGAAGGCGGCCUUCUGGACUGACACUGACGCUGAGGUGCGAAAGCGUGGGUAGCAAACAGGAUUAGAUACCCCAGUAGUC